Long non-coding RNA from Oncorhynchus tshawytscha (Chinook salmon), 1506 nucleotides. The record is from Ensembl. Lineage: Eukaryota; Metazoa; Chordata; Actinopteri; Salmoniformes; Salmonidae.
GUAAACUCAGUCUCUUGUGACAGAGGCCAGCGCUCACGAGAGAUGUGGUGCUGGGUGACGAGGUUACAGUAGAUGACAUGAUCAGAAACUAUGGAUGGCCAUAACGUGUUACAAGACAAGAUAUAAUGCACAUUCACGAGGAGGUCUAUGGACAAUCAGUCAUGUUUGACAUGCGGACAUGCCUUUAAUGUAGGUUACUGGCAUGUUGCAGAAAGAUUGAUUGUGUGAACUUUCCACACUUUCUUUCUGCCUGACAAGGCAGCCUACGUUGUCCCCUGUGAUUUACAACUCUCACACACACAUGCUUCCUCAGAGGAUGAAUGGAAAUCAGACUCAGAGUGUCCAGGGGACUGUGUUAAAUCAUCCAUUCACUGUCUCAGGGUGUCCAGGGGACCGUGUUAAAUCAUCCAUUCACCGUCUCAGGGUGUCCAGGGGACUGUGUUAAAUCAUCCAUUCACUGUCUCAGGGUGUCCAGGGGACUGUGUUAAAUCUUCCAUUCACUGUCUCAGAGUGUCCAGGGGACCGUGUUAAAUCAUCCAUUCACUGUCUCAGGGUGUCCAGGGGACUGUGUUAAAUCAUCCAUUCACCGUCUCAGGGUGUCCAGGGGACCGUGUUAAAUCAUCCAUUCACUGUCUCAGGGUGUCCAGGGGACUGUGUUAAAUCAUCCAUUCACUGUCUCAGGGUGUCCAGGGGACUGUGUUAAAUCAUCCAUUCACUGUCUCAGGGUGUCCAGGGGACCGUGUUAAAUCAUCCAUUCACCGUCUCAGGGUGUCCAGGGGACUGUGUUAAAUCAUCCAUUCAUUGUCUCAAGAUGUCCAGGGGACCGUGUUAAAUCAUCCAUUCACCGUCUCAGGGUGUCCAGGGGACCGUGUUAAAUCAUCCAUUCACUGUCUCAGGGUGUCCAGGGGACUGUGUUAAAUCAUCCAUUCACUGUCUCAGGGAGUCCAGGGGACCGUGUUAAAUCAUCCAUUCACUGUCUCAGGGUGUCCAGGGGACUGUGUUAAAUCAUCCAUUCACUGUCUCAGAGUGUCCAGGGGACCGUGUUAAAUCAUCCAUUCACUGUCUCAGGGUGUGCAGAGGACCAUGUUCAGACACCAAAUGGAAAAACUACUACCUGUACUCCAAUAGGAAUGAUCAAAUGGAGUGAGCGCUGAUCAUGUACGCUGAUCCCCUGUUUUAGCCAAUAGGAAUGGAUUAUUUGUCUGAUUUAUCAGUAGCCCUUCCAAUCAUAUGGGCUGGGAGGAGGCCUGGCCAGAGAGGGACUCCAGUGGAUAAUGGGAUGAGGGCGCAAUGAGAAUGAUUGUCUCCGCUGCGUCAUUAGUAGGGCUGUGACGAUACCCUUUUGCAUUAUUCUGUAGAGAUUAUGUAUCUCUGUAUCUCUCUUUCUCUCUCUCUCUCUUUCUUUCUUUCUCACGCUCUCUCUGACAGUACAUCAGAAGCCUGUUAAGGCCCUGUGAGUCACUGCAGUGGGUAGACUGAUGUUCCUGCUGUGGCAAAGGGCUCUCU